This is a non-coding RNA of Mycena albidolilacea, 97 nucleotides long. The record is from the annotation of a GenBank genome assembly. Lineage: Eukaryota; Fungi; Basidiomycota; Agaricomycetes; Agaricales; Mycenaceae.
CACCCAGUAGCACACGGUGUGCAUCUGCUUAUACUGACAAGUUGUGGAGCAGCCGGUAAUUAUGCAGAAGGCCUCCGUUCGAUUCGGGGCUGGGUGA